RNAcentral lists this ribosomal RNA (429 nucleotides) under Pseudomonadota bacterium. Its description in RNAcentral is "Proteobacteria bacterium partial 16S ribosomal RNA". It matches the Rfam family "Bacterial small subunit ribosomal RNA", at positions 355 to 776 of the family's 1533-position model. Lineage: Bacteria; Pseudomonadati; Pseudomonadota. The record is from RNAcentral.
UGGGGAAUAUUGGACAAUGGGCGAAAGCCUGAUCCAGCCAUGCCGCGUGUGUGAAGAAGGUCUUCGGAUUGUAAAGCACUUUAAGUUGGGAGGAAGGGCAGUAAGCGAAUACCUUGCUGUUUUGACGUUACCGACAGAAUAAGCACCGGCUAACUCUGUGCUAGCAGCCGCGGUAAUACAGAGGGUGCGAGCGUUAAUCGGAUUUACUGGGCGUAAGGCGUGCGUAGGCGGCUAAUUGAGUAGGAUGUGAAAUCCCCGAGCUUAACUUAGGAAUUGCAUUCGAUACUGGUUAGCUAGAGUGUGGGAGAGGAUGGUAGAAUUACAGGUGUAGCGGUGAAAUGCGUAGGGAUCUGGAGGAAUACCGAUGGCGGAGGCAGCCAUCUGGCCUAACACUGACGCUGAGGUACGAAAGCAUGGGGGGCAAACAGG